UGCCAGGUCAUGCACGAAGGGAGCACCGUGU
RNAcentral lists this non-coding RNA (31 nucleotides) under Homo sapiens (human). Lineage: Eukaryota; Metazoa; Chordata; Mammalia; Primates; Hominidae. The record is from RNAcentral.